GGCCCCAGAGAGGGCUGAGCUCAUUGGACAGCUUCCCCGCGCGUCUAUAAAAGUGUCGUGGCCGCGGCGCGGGUAAGCGAGCUAGAGGGAUCCUGGCGGCGGACGAGAACGCUAAGCCUCGCGUCUCAAAGCCCCGGGCCGGGCCUGCCAGGGUCCCCUAGACCCCAGGUCCCUCACGCCCUUCGCACGCGGGGAUGGGAUGGCCUCCUUCGCCUCUCUCUGUCCGCGAGAGGAGCUCUACCUCUUAGCCUUUAUCCCCAAAGAGAACAUCCACUUGCUUUGAUUUGGACGUAAGAAAUAUUUUUCGCUUAUGGGUCAUUGUAAUUGUUCAAGUAAACUCUGAAAACGUUGGCAGUUAUUCUCACGUGGAGAGGCUCCCUCACGAAUCCAUCACGCUGCGCAGUGUGCCCAUGCGUCAGUAGAGGCAGAAAGUGAAGGAAGACCCCAAAGUCACUAGAGCACCUUUAGGUUCACGGCGCAGUUGAGGUGUGGAGAUUUCCCAUAUACCCACUGCCUUCACACGUGCACAGCCUCCGCCGUUUGCAACAUUCUUCGCCAGGGGGAAGAGAAGUAGCAAAGCUCUAAAGGGAGAAUUAUUUUUUUGCAAUUUCCCCCCAUUUCAUCGCUCGUGGUGGAUAUCCACAUGUUCCAGUGCCCUAUUUCAAAAAGAUGAUCCUUUCUCCUUUGAGUUGCCUUGGUAAUCUCAUACGGAACUCUGGCUUCAGCAGACUUCUCACCGAGGCAUCCUGUGUCAACAUUUGCAACUCAGAUGCCACGGAACUGUCCACUCAUAUCGCCAGCCUGGCGUCUCUGCUGUGAUGCCGUAUGAAUCUCAAUGUAAUAAAACCCAGCUGCGGUGACUCUAAGCGUACCUUCUAGGACCGGACCGUCCAGCCAGUUGUGGACAUCGAGCCCUGGAAUUCAUCUUGCUACCUCCCUCUCCCUCGCUCUCUUAUCCAGUCCUUUGCCAAUUCCCUGUCUUUACCUCCUAAGGGCCUCUCUGAUCAUCUACUUCUCUCCAUCCCCACUGCCACCAGGAAUCCACGAUCCUCCUUCAUCCGGACUCUUGCAGUAUCCCCCAGUUGUCUUCCUGUAUCCUUGCUUUCUGCGUCUAAUUUGGUUUCUUCACAACAGCCAUAGCCAGAAUCAUUUUUUAAAGGAUUUACAUUUGGGGUACCUGGGUGGCUCAGUCAGUUAAGCGCCAGACUUCGGCUCAGCUCAUGAUCUCGCAGUUCGUGGGUUCGAGCCCCACGU
Long non-coding RNA from Neofelis nebulosa (Clouded leopard), 1254 nucleotides. RefSeq lists it as uncharacterized. NCBI's taxonomy places the organism in Eukaryota, Metazoa, Chordata, Mammalia, Carnivora, Felidae. The record is from RefSeq and is a predicted model, not a curated record. The transcript is spliced from 5 exons.